GAGUUUGAUCCUGGCUCAGAUUGAACGCUGGCGGCAUGCCUUACACAUGCAAGUCGAACGGUAACAGGUCUUCGGAUGCUGACGAGUGGCGAACGGGUGAGUAAUACAUCGGAACGUGCCCGAUCGUGGGGGGAUAACGAAGCGAAAGCUUUGCUAAUACCGCAUACGAUCUACGGAUGAAAGCAGGGGACCGCAAGGCCUUGCGCGAACGGAGCGGCCGAUGGCAGAUUAGGUAGUUGGUGGGAUAAAAGCUUACCAAGCCGACGAUCUGUAGCUGGUCUGAGAGGACGACCAGCCACACUGGGACUGAGACACGGCCCAGACUCCUACGGGAGGCAGCAGUGGGGAAUUUUGGACAAUGGGCGAAAGCCUGAUCCAGCCAUGCCGCGUGCAGGAUGAAGGCCUCGGUUGUAAC
RNAcentral lists this ribosomal RNA (415 nucleotides) under uncultured microorganism. Its description in RNAcentral is "bacterial SSU rRNA". It matches the Rfam family "Bacterial small subunit ribosomal RNA", at positions 9 to 429 of the family's 1533-position model. The record is from RNAcentral.